UGUUACUGACCUAUUUUCUUUCAUGCCCUCUGUCUAUCCCUAUGACUAACUCAUACAGCGUUAUUCAUGUGUAUCCUUUUUUUUUAGCUGUUUUCCAGGAAGAAAAUACGGGGUCUUGACAUUUGACUUCUCCAUGCUGGCCAUUGAGGCUAGAGAGACAGCAUGGACUUCUGCAUACUUGUUUUAAGACAGGGCUACUAAGGCAUGGUAUCAGGUAACUGGCUAAUCAGAUUGUGCCCUUGAGCCAAAGGUUUGAUGGUUCUGGUCACAUUUCCUAACCAGAAUCACAGAACCCAAACUCGUGGGCCAUCUGAUGUAGGGCUCUCCUGUUUGGAAAGUAAAAGUUCUUGUUGACCUCUUUAAUUCUCUUGGCACUUUUGAAUACAAUCAUUAGAGGAUUUGUCACUCUGGUUUAGAAAUGCUGUCUCCAGUCCCCCUGGGAAAGUCGGCCAAAGACUUUCCCUGGCUUUGGCCGAGUGGGAUGGAUUUUGAACUAGGAAGGUCCUGGGCUUUCUCAUAGGCUACUAAACCAGCUAUUCAGUGUGGACUUCACUUGCCUGUAUUUGCAUUACCUAAAUUGAGACUCCAGAAUUAGUAUUCUGUUGGAGGGACCAGGAGAAUAAGCAGGUACAUUCACGUUUUAAUAACUCCCUAGAUGAUUCUUACAAAUACCGAAGAUUGAAAACCAUUUCCUAGAGGAUUUUAUUGUUGCACAUGCAGGAUGUCCUGCCAGCUCUUUAGCAAGAGGAGACAAUGCCUUUUCCUGGAAAGGGAUAUUUUUAUUGUUAAAAUAAGCACUUUGCUUAGUAAUUCUUGUAAUUGGAAUGAGUUACAGGGAACCAUCAUACCUAGAUAUCCGCAUGAAUAAUAUAUGCAUUGUGAGGAUAAAGGGGUACGGUCUUUUGGCUGUAGCGUAAUGGUUAGUAGCAACGACUCUGGAAACAUGCCUUUAGAUACGAAGUCUUUCUCCAACUUUUAUUAGCCUAGUGACUUCAUGAAUAUAACUUUGUGACUCUGUGCCAUCAUAUGUAAAAAAUACCCUUAACAAGUUUGUUAUGAGACUUAUAUAGGUUGAUAUCUAGCAGUUAAAAUAGUGACUGGCACAUAAAAACACUCAAAUGUUAGAUGUUGAUAUUACUUUGUUAUUGUCAUUUUAUUAACAAUCAUGAUCAUAAUAGCUAAUACAACUUAGAAAUAUAUAUUAUAUAUAUAUAUAAAAUCACUUUUGAUAUUACUAUCUUUUUAUAAUGUGCUCCCUCCCUUUUCUAUUUUUUCCCUUUUCCUCUUUGAGGGCUGGAGCUAUUUCUUACUGUAUUUGUUGUUCUGUUUUGUUGUUUACAUCUCCCUUACAACAUUUGUAACUAUUUGCCCAGAGUAAAUACUAAAUUUAUGCUGGUUUUUCUUUUACUUGGUGCAGAAAAGUAUAAUAAGACUUAUGACCUUGCACAAGAAUGAGAAUAAUAUAUAGUCAUUAAAUAUAGAAUCUAUAUGUAAUGGCUUGUAAAAUAUAUGCAGCAAAAACAAAGUAAAAUCAUAAAUUUGAAAAACAUUAAGACUUCAAGACAAAACUUUUGUCUACUGAGUUCUCUUAUGCCUCCCAAAUAUCUAAUUGGGCAACUGGUACAUAAAAGGAUCUCAAUUUUGUUGAAUACAUUUUUGUUUUUGUAAAAUGAAGCUGUAAAAAUGUGGAAAGAUGUGGCUUAAAUGUUACCACAUUAUGGCUGAGGGUUUUGAUUAUCCUUAAAAUUUCCUGUAUCUUCUGAUGUUUAUUUUAUGAACAUAAACUACUUUUUUUAAAUUGCAGGCUGAAAAAAGGAAUGGUGAACUUAGCCUCAUUAUACUUCAGGCAACUAGAUUUGACAAAUGUCUAAUUGCUAGGGUUGGUGGCUAGUUUUGAUGACAAAGGUGGCAAGAAGAUCACUCUUUUCUCUUCUGAAUGAGUAAUAGCAGAUAUUUUCACUCCUUCAUGAGUUUUCUUUUUCUUUACAGAAGAGACAUAUUUGAAGGUAUUUGCACCAACAAGACCAUAUACAGUUUUUAGACAUUCUGGUGAGCUGUGCUUGCAACAAAGAGAAUAUGUAUGGGUAGAUACAUACAUAGAUGGAUGGAUAGAUAUAAAUAUAUUUCAAUUUAAAUCUGACAUUAGCUUAAUCUUGAUAUUAAUCUGUCUAUGCAUAGAUAUUAAUGUAUGUACACACACAUGCACUUAGCCAUAGGUAUACAUAGCAAGUCAAGCAAUGUCAUUUAUUUCCCUGACAGCAGUAAUACUAAUAAUCUUCAUAAUCUGAGAAGCCUUCGCCUCAAAACGAAAAAUCCCAAUAAUUGAACAACCCUCCACAAGCCUAGAGUGGUUAUACGGAUGCCCCCCACCCUACCAUACGUUUGAAGAACCCGUCUAUAUGAAACCCGAACAAAAAAGGAAGGAAUCGAACCUCCUAAAGCUGAUUUCAAGCCAGCCCCAUAACCUCCAUGACUUCUUCAAAAGGUACUAGAAAAAGGUACUCUUCCUAUAACUCCUCACUCAUGGAGGGGAGGUAUUAAAUGGUCGUCUGCUUAAAUGGAAAAAUCUUAAGGCAAAGGAAAUUGGAGGAGAAGGUGAGACAGAUACUGAGAUACCGAGAAGAUGGAGAAAGAGAAAGACAAAGUCAGAAACAUGGAGAUUCAGAGAUACAAAGAGAAUCACAGAAAAGAAAGAAAUCAGCAAAUGUCUUGUUGUGAAACAACCUGAACAUACAGAUGUCCUAGAAUGGAGGUGAAGAGAGCAUUUAGAAGGACAAUCUAGAUUUCUCUGUGUAGCAGAGCAGCAGCAACUGCAGCAAGGCCAAACUGGCAGAAACCAAAAUCAAAAAGGACUGCCCUUCCUCCUUAGUCCUCUGUGUUCCUGGCUUUUCUUUGGCGGGAAUGCUUCACAUAUUUUCUCAGGAGCCACGUACCUCUGACCACAGGAGGUUUCCUGAAACCAGAGGUAGAAGGUUCCUGCUUUCAUACAGCAGACUCAUUUCCUCACUCAGGGAAUCAGGUGUUGCUUCACUCACGUGGAGGUACAUGGCCUUUCCCUUCCUGUUCUAGCAGUUCCCACUGUCAACCUCAGACCCAGCCAACACAAGUGCCAGUGCUACAUAGAGUAAGUCGCUUUGAGCUGCCUGAGGGAACUCAAAGGGCCUCUCACAGAAGAAAGCUUAGGGAUAGGACUGUGGCCUCAGCUGUGACCCUUUCUCCUGGCAAACUAUGGCACUGGAUGAAACAUGAAGAUGCCUCUUGCGGACGGUAGACUAGCACAAAAGCCAAAGAUGGAAGGAAAGUGGCGCUUCUUUCUGUCUCCCAUUCAGGGGGGUCUAUCUCCCUGAAUUACUGAUAUCCUAGCCUCAUGUAUGUGUUUUGUUAAUUGAGUACCAGUGCUCAGAGCAUUGGUUCGGGAAUUAGUGAUUCUGCCACUUUUCAGUUGUAUCACUUCGGGCAUUCACUUCAUUUCUCUGAGCCUUAAAUUUCUCAUCUAUAAGUUGUAGAUAGUCAUGCCUGUCUUGACUUGCUUGGCCAAAUAAAAACUCAAGUUUUAAAUUCUGAAACCUUAGGGUUCAAGAGCUGGGGAAGGGAGUUUACAUGUUUUCUAAUGCCAUUAUCUGCUGCAGGCAUUCAUUCCCCUCACCAGCAUCCUAGACGAUAUCAUCCUCUUGAUUCAGUUGGAAUGCUGACAUGCCUGGGGAGCUGCCCUCGGGAGGUCUAAUUGUUAGAAACUUCUUCCUGUGCCCCCUAGUGACUUUUAUCUGUUUUGCCUCUGGACUCAAUAAAUUUCAUUCCUAAACUGUUCUGCAUAUUGACAAAUACUGUAAAAAAUCAUCACUUUCUUAAAGUUGUUGUCAAGUUAUUGUCUCAGCUCCUUUACCUGCUCUGCCUUUUGGGAUUUUUGUUUGGAUUCAUGAAUGAAACAGGGCAUGACAUUAGGUGUUUCUGAAUGUUCUCAAGGGUCCUUGUGGGAUUGGUUCUCUAAAAGCUUCCCUGAUUAUCUCUGGAGGCAUUGAAUAUUACCAAUAGUUUGAGUCCUAGAACCAUGAUUAGAAAAGCAUGUUAUUUUUUAUUAUGAACAAAAUGGAGAUGCAUUAAAUUUUAGUAAGAGACCUUGAAAACAUCUAAAUAAUAAACGCUGUUCGUAACCCAGCUAUUGC
Pongo pygmaeus (Bornean orangutan) is the source of this 4163-nucleotide long non-coding RNA. RefSeq lists it as uncharacterized. NCBI's taxonomy places the organism in Eukaryota, Metazoa, Chordata, Mammalia, Primates, Hominidae. The record is from RefSeq and is a predicted model, not a curated record. The transcript is spliced from 3 exons.